This 328-nucleotide long non-coding RNA is filed under the name Homo sapiens (human). RNAcentral describes it as "HSALNT0375864". The record is from RNAcentral. Lineage: Eukaryota; Metazoa; Chordata; Mammalia; Primates; Hominidae.
GGGCUACUUCUGGGCAUCCUGUGAGUCAAGAUGCUGAGACAUACAGUUUCACUUAUUUUUGACAUCCUGAAGGCAACUGGAUGUUUCAAGUUCAGAUGAUGAGAAAGGUCUCCAUAAAGGGCCAGCAGCAUGAAGUAGAAACUGAGUGUCUGCACAUGAUACAUACAGCAUCAGGCUGAAGCUGAGACACUGGGAAGGGUGAAAUGGAAGAAAAGAAAGAAGAAAAGAGACCAAGAGGACUGCUGGACACUCGGUGAAAGGGCUCUAUAAUGUGGGAAAGGUGGUACCAGGGAAUGAUUGCACCAAACUCUGGACUCAAGUGCAUUCC